Long non-coding RNA from Pantherophis guttatus, 635 nucleotides. RefSeq lists it as uncharacterized. Lineage: Eukaryota; Metazoa; Chordata; Lepidosauria; Squamata; Colubridae. The record is from RefSeq and is a predicted model, not a curated record.
CGCGGAGGCUCCAGAUCCCUCUGGCUGCCAUCUUCUCUACACGCAAUUAUGCCAUCCAUCAACCUGCCCUUUAGACAGUUGCCGAGUCUCCCAGCCGCACGCCAAGCAUCAGGCUCCCAAGGAGCUCCAUUCGGGAAUGAAGCAGGGAAGCGACACAGCGCAUUCACAUCAAACGAGACUGGGCCAGAUUGGGACAAAAGGGCAUUUCUGACAAAGAGAAAUGCUUGCUUGAUAUAACCGCCGACCUGUGGCGUCUUGCAUUCCCAUAUAAGCAGUUUCACCUAUAUCAGACAGGUACGGCCGAUGAAGCCAACGCCUCCAGGCUGAAAGAGGUGGACGAAUGAAGAAAGGGCAACUACUGAUAGGAAUGUGGCACUUUGAAUUAAUUUCAGAUGAGGAUAAAUGUCAAGGGAGCGUCCCGAACUUCCGACCUGGAAGGGGGAAAUAAUAAUAACGAUGAUGACGAUGAUGAUGAAGAUGAUGGGCUCCGCUUUAGGGGGAACUGAGAGGUUCUGGUUGCUGGCAUCUUUUUGUACUUACACAUUUGAUUAAAGGGCAUGGGCUUUGCUGAGCGCCUUUUCAGGCAACGUGUUUGUCUGAAAAAGUGCUAUCAAAAACCUGAUUUUCGGCUUCCA